GAUGAAGAACGCAGCGAAAUGCGAUAAGUAAUGUGAAUUGCAGAAUUCAGUGAAUCAUCGAAUCUUUGAACGCAUCUUGCGCUCCUUGGUAUUCUGAGGAGCAUGCCUGUUUGAGUGUCAUUAAAUUCUCAACUACACUGACUUUGAAUUGGUGUGGCUUGGAUUUGGGGGGAAAAUUGUUGUGGGCUUUUUGUAUAGUCUGCUCCCCUGAAAUUGAUUAGCGGUACCUUUGUGGAACUGUCUAAAGGUGUGAUAAUUAUCUACAUCUGCUGGAAUGCUGCUUUCUAAACCUUACUUGUAUUGACAAUCUUGACCUCAAAUCAGGUAGGACUACCCGCUGAACUUAAGCAUAUCAAUAAGCGGAGGA
This 367-nucleotide unclassified non-coding RNA is filed under the name soil metagenome. RNAcentral's name for it is "partial contains 5.8S ribosomal RNA, internal transcribed spacer 2, and large subunit ribosomal RNA". The stretch from base 1 to 120 matches the Rfam family "5.8S ribosomal RNA", at positions 35 to 154 of the family's 154-position model. The record is from RNAcentral.